Molecule: long non-coding RNA, 959 nt
Filed under: Equus caballus (horse)
Lineage: Eukaryota; Metazoa; Chordata; Mammalia; Perissodactyla; Equidae
Description: lncRNA (ENSECAG00000046350.1)
Source: RNAcentral
CUCAUGACUGCCUUGAUCAAUAGCAUACGGCAGACGUCAUGCUGUGCCAGUUUCAGGCUUAGCUUUACUUGAUUGACAGCUCCAUCUUUCUGCUUCUUGGAACGUUCAGUCUGGGGACUCCCUCUCUCCUAAACCAACUGCCAUGCUGUGAAACUCCUAAGCCACACGGAGGUAUUUCAGUUGACAGCCUUAGCUGAGCUGCAGUAUCAACUGCCAGUCAUGUGAACACUCAGCUUGAACAUUCCAGCCCAGUUGAGCCUUCGGAUAAUUGCAGCCCCAGCUGACACCUGGCCGUAUUGUGUGAGACACACCAAGUGAAAACUGCUUAGCUGAGUCCAGUCAAACCAAAGAAUCGUGAGAGAGAAGAAUAAUUGGUUUCAAGGGCCCAGUGCAAGCCGCGGAGCUGAAACAGCAUCUCUAAUCUUAUUUCCUAUGAACCUCUCACUAACUUCUCCUUUUACGAUCUUUUCACGGCUGUUACAUUGAAUCAGUAUCAUUAUGUGUUUAAAAAAAUAUUAUGCUCUGUGUCUCAGAGCUAACUCUCCAGAACCGAUUAUUCUAGCCCCUUUUCUUAGGAGAUGACAGGCUGUUAGAAAUCUGGAAAGGGUGGGGGUUUGUUUGUUUGUUUCUGGGGUCCUCUUGGCAGGAGCUGAGAAAUGAGGUGAAAGCCGCGGUUCUCAGACUUUUGCUGUAGGUUUACGGUAUGACCAUGAGCAUUCCCAAUGGCAGAUUGCAAAAAUGGCCCUGGAUUCCUCCCUUCCCUGAACGCACACUUCUUUGCAGUGUGACUUGGUCACUCUUCUCCUCUAGAGGUGGAGCCUGUACUUCACACCUUGAAUCUAGCCUUAGACAAUAUGUUUUGUCCCGUGGGAUGUUAGCAGAGGUUUGAAGGACAUUUCUGCUUUGGGGUUUCCUCUCUCUUGCUGCACCUGGAAACUUAAGACCCUUAUGUCACCCAG